This 74-nucleotide transfer RNA is filed under the name Candidatus Iainarchaeum sp. Its description in RNAcentral is "tRNA-Ile". It matches the Rfam family "tRNA". Rfam says of the family: Transfer RNA (tRNA) molecules are approximately 80 nucleotides in length. Their secondary structure includes four short double-helical elements and three loops (D, anti-codon, and T loops). Lineage: Archaea; Nanobdellati; Candidatus Iainarchaeota; Candidatus Iainarchaeia; Candidatus Iainarchaeales; Candidatus Iainarchaeaceae. The record is from RNAcentral.
GGGAGGGUAGCUUAGCCUGGGGGAGCAGUCGACUGAUAAUCGACCGGUCGGAGGUUCAAAUCCUCCCCUUCCCA